GCCAUGUCUGUAGGCCUCUCUGUUUCACGCUCUCUUUAUGUAUUGAGCUAUCGUUUGUUUGAGCACCUCCAUAGCACUUUGUCAUCAUCUGUUACCACAGGGACUGGAGAGCCCGGCGGGGCCAGAGCGAGAGAGAGGUGUAUUCUGUGAGACAGGGAUGAAGCGAUCACUGGUGUUUGAUCCAGAUGCCAUUCUCGGGGGCGAAGGAUGAAGCUCCCUUAGUGGACUGAGGUCUUCCCGCUUCUGACACAACCUCCACGUUGAAGUAGCGCAAGAUGGAUGCCAGGAUCACCUUCUCCAUCACGGCAAAGCUCUGACCUGGGGGCACGGGUGUAACAAGAGCAUGUGAGGAUACACACUUUUAAUCCUCCAUUUUGUUUUAAUUAUGUCUUGUUUUUUGUUGUCUGAAGUUAAACUUUAGUUUGUCACUAUCAUUAAGGUAGUGAUAGCUUGUAAGCAUCUUCGUUGGACAGGCCCACUGUAGUGGACAGUCCACUAUCAAGCUGAUAAAACAUUGAUCAAUACCUGUGACAUUGUACAACCCAAUCCUUGUUUUAUUUUUAAAAUCUUUUAUUUUGGCUUCAAAUUGAAAAUUGCCGCCAAAGGUGACCAAUCUUGUGUCAUUAAUCUCAAA
Molecule: non-coding RNA, 634 nt
Organism: Oncorhynchus mykiss (rainbow trout)
Lineage: Eukaryota; Metazoa; Chordata; Actinopteri; Salmoniformes; Salmonidae
Source: RefSeq, a predicted model, not a curated record